GUGUAAGUUUUUAAGAGCACACGGUGGAUGCCUUGGCAUCAGGAGCCGAAGAAGGACGUAGUAACCUGCGAUAAGCCUCGGGGAGUUGGUAAACGAACGGUGAUCCGAGGGUGUCCGAAUGGGGAAACCCCGCCAGAGCGCGUGCGUGUCUGGUGACCCGCGCCUGAAUAUAUAGGGCGUGUGGGGGGAACGUGGGGAAGUGAAACAUCUCAGUACCCACAGGAAGAGAAAACAAGAGUGAUUCCGGGAGUAGUGGCGAGCGAAACCGGAUGAGGCUAAACCUGGUCUGUGUGAUAGCCGGUAGGCGUUGCAGGUUGGGGGUUGUGGGACCAUUCGUGGGGCUCUACCGGGCUUCAAGGGUGACGUGUGUUGGAUAGUCGAAUCGUUUGGAAAGACGGACCAUAGUGGGUGAGAGUCCCGUAGACGAAAUUCAGUGCCGGCCCGAGUGGUAUCCCGAGUAUCACGGGACUCGUGUAAUCCCGUGUGAAUCUGCCAGGACCACCUGGUAAGCCUAAAUACUUCCUGAUGACCGAUAGCGGACAAGUACCGUGAGGGAAAGGUGAAAAGUACCCCGGGAGGGGAGUGAAAUAGUACCUGAAACCGUGUGCUUACAAUCCGUCAGAGCCUGUGCGGUCCUUGAGUGGGCUGGUGGGUGAUGGCGUGCCUUUUGAAGAAUGAGCCUGCGAGUUAGCGAUACGUGGCGAGGUUAACCCGUGUGGGGAAGCCGUAGCGAAAGCGAGUCCGAAUAGGGCGACCUAUAGUCGCGUGUCCUAGACCCGAAGCGAAGUGAUCUAGCCAUGGCCAGGUUGAAGCGCCGGUAAGACGGCGUGGAGGACCGAACCCACUUCAGUUGAAAAUGGAGGGGAUGAGCUGUGGUUAGGGGUGAAAGGCCAAUCAAACUUCGUGAUAGCUGGUUCUCCCCGAAAUGCAUUUAGGUGCAGCGUCAUGUGUUUCUUACCGGAGGUAGAGCUACUGGAUGGCUAAUGGGCCCAACAAGGUUACUGACGUCAGCCAAACUCCGAAUGCCGGUAAGUGAGAGCAUGGCAGUGAGACUGCGGGGGAUAAGCUUCGUAGUCGAGAGGGAAACAGCCCAGACCACCAACUAAGGCCCCUAAGCGUGUGCUAAGUGGGAAAGGAUGUGGAGUUGCACAGACAACCAGGAGGUUGGCUUAGAAGCAGCCAUCCUUGAAAGAGUGCGUAAUAGCUCACUGGUCAAGUGAUUCCGCGCCGACAAUGUAGCGGGGCUCAAGUACACCGCCGAAGUUGUGGCAUUCACAUAAUUCCAAGCAUUAUCCUACGGGGUGGUGUUCAGGGGUGUGGAUGGGUAGGGGAGCGUCGUGUGGGCAGUGAAGUCGCGGUGUAAACCAGUGGUGGAGCCUACACGAGUGAGAAUGCAGGCAUGAGUAGCGAAAGACGGGUGAGAAACCCGUCCGCCGAAUGAUCAAGGGUUCCAGGGCUAGGCUAAUCCGCCCUGGGUAAGUCGGGACCUAAGGCGAGGCCGACAGGCGUAGUCGAUGGACAACGGGUUGAUAUUCCCGUACCGGCGAAGAACCGCCCAUACCGAUUCCGGGGAUACUAACCACCCAAACCACCAUGGUCUGGCUUUCGAGCUUGUUCUGUGUUGUGGGGAGCGUGGGACCUGAUCUGGUAGUAGGUAAGCGUAUUAACAGGUGUGACGCAGGAGGGUAGCUUCCGCGUGCCGAUGGUUGUGCACGUCUAAGGAUGUAGGGAGUCUUGCAGGUAAAUCCGUGAGACUGGCUUUGAUGCCGUUCCUGAGAUCUGAUGGUGACCGCCCUUGUGGCGGGAAGAGGGUGAUCCCAUGCUGCCGAGAAAAGCAUCGACGUGAGGUUCUAGCCGCCCGUACCCCAAACCGACUCAGGUGAUCAGGUAGAGAAUACUAAGGCGAUCGAGAGAAUCGUGGUUAAGGAACUCGGCAAAAUACCCCCGUAACUUCGGGAUAAGGGGGGCCAAGCGCGUGAACACCUUCGCGGUGGGAGCGUGAGUUGGCCGCAGAGACCAGGGAGAAGCGACUGUUUACUAAAAACACAGGUCCGUGCGAAGUCGCAAGACGAUGUAUACGGACUGACGCCUGCCCGGUGCUGGAAGGUUAAGAGGACUGGUUAACCACACUUGUGUGGUGAAGCUGAGAAUUUAAGCCCCAGUAAACGGCGGUGGUAACUAUAACCAUCCUAAGGUAGCGAAAUUCCUUGUCGGGUAAGUUCCGACCUGCACGAAUGGCGUAACGACUUCUCUACUGUCUCAACCACGAACUCGGCGAAAUUGCAUUACGAGUAAAGAUGCUCGUUACGCGCAGCAGGACGGAAAGACCCCGAGACCUUUACUACAGUUUGGUAUUGGUGUUCGGUGUGGCUUGUGUAGGAUAGGUGGGAGACUAUGAGACGGGCACGCUAGUGUUCGUGGAGUCAUCGUUGAAAUACCACUCUGGUCAUAUUGGAUACCUUAACUUCGGACCAUGAUCUGGUUCAGGGACAGUGCCUGAUGGGUAGUUUAACUGGGGCGGUUGCCUCCCAAAGAGUAACGGAGGCGCCCAAAGGUUCCCUCAGCCUGGUUGGCAAUCAGGUGUCGAGUGUAAGUGCACAAGGGAGCUUGACUGUGAGACGGACGUGUCGAGCAGGAGCGAAAGCUGGGACUAGUGACCCGGCCGUGGAUUGUGGAAUCGCGGUCGCUCAACGGAUAAAAGGUACCUCGGGGAUAACAGGCUGAUCUUGCCCAAGAGUCCAUAUCGACGGCAUGGUUUGGCACCUCGAUGUCGGCUCGUCGCAUCCUGGGGCUGGAGUCGGUCCCAAGGGUUGGGCUGUUCGCCCAUUAAAGCGGUACGCGAGCUGGGUUUAGAACGUCGUGAGACAGUUCGGUCCCUAUCCGCUGCGCGCGGAGGAAAUUUGAGAAGGGCUGUCCUUAGUACGAGAGGACCGGGACGGACGAACCUCUGGUGUGCCAGUUGUCCUGCCAAGGGCACGGCUGGUUAGCUACGUUCGGAAAGGAUAACCGCUGAAAGCAUCUAAGCGGGAAGCCUGCUUCGAGAUGAGAUUUCCAUACCCCUACGGGGUGAGAGGCUCCCAGCUAGAUUACUGGGUUGAUAGGCCAGACGUGGAAGCACAGCAAUGUGUGGAGCUGACUGGUACUAAUAAGCCGAUAACUUACCCAC
RNAcentral lists this ribosomal RNA (3166 nucleotides) under Saxibacter everestensis. RNAcentral's name for it is "Brevibacteriaceae bacterium ZFBP1038 23S ribosomal RNA". It matches the Rfam family "Bacterial large subunit ribosomal RNA". The record is from RNAcentral. Lineage: Bacteria; Bacillati; Actinomycetota; Actinomycetes; Micrococcales; Brevibacteriaceae.